UAGAGGAAGUCACAAGAUUUAUACAGUCCCUUUGAUAUUUUAUUUAACCCGAUAACUGCUUGGGAAGGUAGGAGCCUGUUUGGUUUACCUUUGUCCUAGAUUCAGUUUUAAUAUCUAAUGCAUAAAUGAGAGGGGUGAUCUUUAUUCCUAAUGAUUCAUGCUGCCUCAGAGCACCGUGGUUUCGAGUUGUGCUGCCUUUCCCACUGGGGGAUGCAAACAAAAGAACAAUAAUUUCAGACUCCUCCUUCAGUUUCCAAGAGAACCUUAGCUGCUCAGGGAUAGCUCUGAAUUUUAAAAGCAUUUUUCUUCCAAAUUAUGUAUUGAUUGCACAUAAAAUAGCAGUGCUGUAAUGUGCAAUUUAAAACAAAUGCAUGAUGGCGCUCAUUUGCUUUUAAUGCUGCUUUUUUCCAGCAGAAAACAAAAAGGGGUUUCUGUUCCCAUAAACCAGUCUUGCAAAACCCUUACAAACAUUUAUUAGUCUAGACACAAAAUAUUCUCACCCAGCCUCAUCCUGACGAUGGCAAAAAGAAACCGACAAGCUAAUAUUGUACUUGGCUGUCCAGAAAAAAUAAAAAAGAAAGGGAUGCUGGGGGUGAAGGGUGGGAAUCUAGCCCCAGGCCACCAAACCAGUAACGUUUUGCUGGGGCUGCCUACAACAACAGAUGCGUUUGAUUCCUGUGGGUUUUCCAGGCCUGCCUAUUCUCUUAUGCUAAACUUGGACACUCUCAUAAACAUUCUCUCUCAGCACCACACCCUGGUCUUAUCCUGGACUCCUUGGAGUUGGUUGAUUUAAUAAUGACAUUAGACACUUUGUCUUGCCUCUCUUUACCCGUUUCUCUGUUCCUCUUCUUGCCCUGGAAGUGACUUAACUAAUGCAUUAAUUCAAAAACAUUUAAAAUAUGUGGGAAUUGGAAUAACUGGUCGAAAUCAAAAUGAUUUAAUAUGGGAGAUUUGACCACAGUUUAAGUCUGAACGUAUGGAGCAUUGGUCUAAAUGAUCUAUUCUAGUUUUGAACUGCAUUUGGACUUUUGAUAUCUUUCAUAAAUAGCAAAUGCUUCUUAUUGUUUGGUUCCAUGGUUGUUUGCAGACUUUUGCUUAGAGGGAUAAAUUCUCUAUAUAAGUGUUAUUUUAUCAGGUGUUUACCUCAGCAUUCAGUUACUCACAUUAUUAAUUUUUACAUCUCAUCAUUUUCUUAGAAAAUAGUGAGUUACACAUAUCUUGUGUUUCAGACAACGAUUAGCUUCUGUCACUCCAAUUUAUGCCAGACUGCAUUUGGUCGGAAAUUAAAAUUUAAUUGAAAAUUUGCCUAAGCAGCAUAAUGUGUCUGUAUUAUUAAUUAGUUGCUGUAAAUAUGGAGAAUAUACAAGAAUACGUGUUUGUUGAAGCUUUUAAAAACCCAUAAAGGAGUCAAAAUACAAUACUGACUUACACUUAGUAGAUUACAUUGAUUGUUUCUGUGAUGAUAUAUCCAUGUAUGUUCAGGUUUUAGCCCCAGUGGAGCUCGUGCUCAAAUCCUAACUGGAGAUCUUACAUAGGAAAUAAAAUGUCCUGCUUUUUCAGUUCUGAGGGGGUGGAAACUUCUCUUGUCAUUCAGAAGAUGAUUUGCAUCUCCGCUCAGUGCAACUGUCUUCAAAGUGAAUGGCUUUCUAUACAGUUAGUCAUUGAUUGCCACUGAUUCCAUGUUUUCACCAAGAAUUUCCAAGUGGCAUCUAAAAAGAAAAUAUAUAUAUAUUAACCAAGUUGUUUUUUCUUCGUUUUUAUAUUCCAUUAAUAAAAAUGGAUCUGUUUAUAGUUAGAACAGUACUUCAGCCAGUGAUCAGUGUACUUAAAGGCGGAUGACUGCUUUAAUGUUGAUAAACCAGGUGUUACUUACGAGGGAAUGUGUUCAGUGCAUUCGUAAAAUAUUAACAUAAAUUAACAAAGUGUUUCUAAUUAAUUGAUUUUGAUUUUCCUCCUCUAAGUAAUAGCAUGCUUAAAUGCAGCACUGAUUGUUCUCUUCCUGCGUGGCCCCCAAUGCUAUCUUCUGUGGCAUGCAAUUUUCUUGAGGUUUUCUCAUGCUUCUUAAGUCUGUUUUCGUAGCACACAUGGUAUUUUAAAUAAAAUUCUACUGUCAAUUCUCAUUUAAAUCAGUCAGAACACUGUUUUGACCCUAGGAUAUCUAUGCAGCUUUAAAUUACCUGUAUAUUUUAAAACAAAACUAAUCCGAUUUUGUGUUUAAACUUAAUGUAAAAGCCCUGCAGCUAUUCAUUUGAAGCACAGUGUUUUAUUUAACUGCAUACUUUUCACUUAAAUCUCGUUGUCCUAAUUUUCCAUGAUUAUACCAGUACAUUGCAGACAGGUGAAAUAAAGUAGCCUGUUUGUUUAAUCCACUUUCUCUCUUCCCUGCCAGGACAGCUGGGCUCCUUCUGCCAGAGUAGCUCACACCACUGACAGCUCUGGGAAAGCAGAAAAAGGUGCAGCCCCUGUUCUACCUAUGGCAGCGUCUCCCGGACUGGAGGUGUUGAACAACUGAAGAAACUGGCUCCGUAAAACAUCAUCUUUCACCUUCCUCACUGAAAGGCAGUACAGUUGCAGUCCCAUCAGAGCAGAUUAUGGCUGUACUGAGCUCUGUGCAGAAUAGUUCUUGGCUUGGAUACAGCGACUCAGACAGAAUGGUGGUGGAUGUGGACUUUAAAACAGUGUCUCAACAUUUCAUCCUCAACUGUCCCUUUUUAAUCUGAUUGCACUACAAAAGAAAAGCUGCUAAUGGGAUAAAUGUUGAGACGUUACAAGAACUGACUUGAAGUACCAAAAGCCAUUAUUAUUAAUCAAGAAGAGCUUGAAGCUAAGUCUGUAUCUGACCAGUCAGUAUCACUUUCACCUAACAGGCAUGGCAAGUAAACGAAAAUCAACAACACCGUGCAUGGUCUUAGCCAACGAGCAAGAUCCGGAUCUGGAAAUGGUAUCAGACUUGGAGGAAGGACCACCUGUAGUCACGCCAGCAGAUAAUAAUCCUACAGCAGAGAGCAUAGCAAGUGAAGAGGAUGUUCAUGAGAGUGUGGAUUCAGACAAUCAGAAAAGUACAAAUAAAGUAGAAGGUGGUUAUGAGUGUAAAUAUUGUACUUUUCAGACUCCAGAUCUCAAUAUGUUUACUUUCCAUGUGGAUUCAGAACAUCCCAAUGUAGUAUUAAAUUCAUCCUACGUUUGUGUAGAAUGCAAUUUUCUUACCAAAAGAUAUGAUGCUCUCUCAGAACAUAAUUUGAAGUACCACCCUGGAGAGGAGAAUUUUAAGUUGACCAUGGUGAAACGUAAUAAUCAGACAAUCUUUGAACAAACAGUAAAUGAUCUCACUUUUGAUGGGAGUUUCGUUAGAGAAGAAAACGCUGAACAGGCUGACCCUUCUGAGGCCCCCUCCGCGGGGAUCUCCAUUAGCAAAACUCCUAUUAUGAAAAUGAUGAAAAACAAAACAGAGACUAAACGCAUCGCUGUUUUCCACAAUGUGGUCGAUGACAUUCCUGGUGAAGAGAAGGGAAAGGAAAAUGAGCCAAACUCCGAAGAAGCAGUAGAAAACCAACCAGCACCGGCAGUUUCUGAGUCCAAAGCGAGCCAUUCGGUUGUUUGCAGUGCAGCCGAUGUAGCUAGCACGGUUGUGACCCCAGUGAUUCAGCCUGGGGUGGCACAGGUUAUAACAGCUGUUACAGCUCCACAGAACUCAAACCUGAUCCCCAAAGUCCUGAUACCUGUAAACAGCAUUCCAACCUAUAAUACUGCUCUGGACAACAAUCCUCUUUUGCUCAACACCUAUAACAAAUUCCCGUAUCCAACCAUGUCGGAGAUCACCGUUCUUUCCACUCAAGCUAAGUACACAGAGGAACAGAUUAAAAUCUGGUUUUCUGCCCAACGUCUGAAACAUGGUGUGAGCUGGACACCAGAGGAAGUGGAGGAAGCAAGGAGGAAACAAUUUAAUGGCACAGUGCAUACUGUGCCACAGACAAUUACCGUUAUUCCGGCGCACAUUUCCACUGCCAGCAAUGGUUUACCUUCAAUUUUACAGACAUGCCAAAUAGUUGGUCAGCCAGGACUUGUUCUCACUCAAGUCGCAGGUGCAAAUACGUUACCAGUCACGGCCCCAAUAGCUUUGACUGUAGCAGGAGUCCCAAACCAAACCCAGCUACAGAAGAGUCAGAUUCACACUGCUCAGCCUAUCGCAGAAACCAAACAAGUCGCUGCCGUUCCAGCCCCUCAGCCUAUCAAAAAUGAAACUGCACUAAUGAAUCCCGAUACCUUUGGCAUGCGAGCAAAAAAAACCAAGGAGCAACUGGCAGAAUUAAAGGUCAGCUACCUUAAAAAUCAGUUUCCUCAGGAUUCAGAAAUUAGUAGGCUUAUGAAAAUAACAGGCCUGACGAAGGGAGAGAUCAAAAAGUGGUUCAGCGAUACACGCUACAAUCAGAGAAACUCAAAGAAUAACCAUGGGAUUCAUCUCAACAGUGACUCAUGUGCCACCAUCAUUAUCGAUUCAAGUGACGAAAUGAAUGAGUCCCCAACAGGAGUUGCUCCACAGAACAAGCCGUCCUGGAGUGCAUUUCCUGACUUCACCCCACAGAAGUUCAAAGAGAAGACUGCUGAGCAGUUGCAAAUCCUCCAAGCAAGUUUUCUUAAUAAUCCUGUCCUUACUGAUGAAGAGAUGAAUAGGUUAAGAGCCCAAACCAAACUUACCAGGAGAGAGAUUGAUGCCUGGUUUGUGGAAAGAAGGAAAUCUAAUGUCUUAAAGGAGGAGGGAACUGAGAUGAAUGAGAGCAAUGCCAGCAGCUCGAAGGAAGAAGCUGGAGAAACAUCUGCAGGGGAUGGAACAGCAGGGUCAAAAUCAGGGGGCUCUGCUCCAAGCAAAAUAGGCAAAAAAUCACCAGAGCAGUUGCACAUGCUUAAAAGCUCCUUUGUUCGUACUCAGUGGCCAUCUCCACAAGAAUACAACAAGCUGGCAGAAGAAACAGGGCUCCCAAGAUCAGAAAUUGUGAGUUGGUUUGGAGAUACUCGCUAUGCCUGGAAAAAUGGGGGAUUGAAGUGGUAUUAUUAUUACCAGAGUGCCAAUGCAAACAGUCUGAAUGGCCAGGGCUUCUCAAGGAAGAGAGGGAGAGGAAGACCAAAGGGGCGAGGAAGAGGGAGGCCUCGAGGGAGGCCUCGGGGAAGCAAGAGGUUAAAUUGCUGGGACCGAGGUGUGUCUGUCAUAAAAUUCAAAACUGGAACAGCAAUCCUGAAGGACUACUAUAUGAAGCACAAAUUCCUUAAUGAGCAAGACCUUGAUGAACUUGUAGCUAAAUCUCACAUGGGGUAUGAGCAGGUCAGAGAGUGGUUUGCAGAAAGGCAGAGAAGAUUAGAACUCGGAAUAGAGCUGUUUGAGGAGAACGAGGAGGAAGAUGAAAUGUUGGAAGAUCAGGAAGAUGAAGAGGAAACGGAUGAUAGCGAUACUUGGGAACCCCCACGACAUGUUAAGCGUAAACUUUCAAAAUCAGAUUGAUGUGCAGUUUGGAAUCUGGGAGCCAAAAACCCGUGAAUUAGGCUUGAUGUUAUGGUGAAGAGCCAAACAAUUUUUCACGGCCUUCAGCUUCAGCAAGCACCUGCUUAGCAUCUUCGUUGCACCUGAAGGAACGUGGGCAAGAUGCUGUCUGCGCAGGCAACAGAUAUUUGCUUCCUUGCUACCAGAGAUGGACGUCCUCGGGCCUAGCUGAGCAUGUGGGGUUAUAAAUCAGCGCCAGUUCAGCUCCUCCUCUUCCACGUGACCAGUGGGAAGGUUCAUUGUUCACGUGACUGCUUCUCAAUAUUUAAUUGCCUUAUCUUGUUUAAUUCCAAAAAACAAACCACAGACACAUUUUGUUGUUGUUGUAGGAGAACAUUACCUGCUCGCAAAGGAGGAAAAUGCAAAAACCUAAGAUGUCUUUUUGCAAAUAUCACUUCACCUGAAAGGAUUCAAGGCCUGGGUUUAUUUCUUAAGGAAAGAAUUCAAAAGAGAAGGGGAAAAGUGUGACAAAGGAAUCAAUGAACAUAGGGGUGAGGAUUGCUUGGUUUAAGAAAAUGAGGUGAUUUUGGCACCUUUUGCGUAUCUUCAGAGUGUUUUGGGUUUACAGAACUUGUGUUGAAAUGUUUCUUGCUGAUAAUUACAAGCUAACUGAAUGAGUUUACUGCUAGAAAAUGCUUUUUGUUAAAUUUAAUCAGCAUAUCUUACAUCAGUUUAAUUUAAAUGCCUGGCAGACUUGAUGCAGUUGAUAGUAACGUUCAUUUUUAGCUUGUGCAUUCUUUACUUUUUUGGAAAAUGGUUAGAAGCUAUGUGUAUUUCUAACAAACAUGAGUAAUUUCUUGAAAUCUUACACUGUAUUUUAAGGUAAACGUGAGGUGGGAACUGCCUAAAAGUCGUUCACCAUUGCUUAGGGUUUUGUAUGAAUACACAGAUACAGAGAUGAAAAGUGUCUUCAGGUGCUAGCAAGAAAGGUUUUCAAGUAUGCGGUGGCAGUGACCUGCUUUUUAAUUUUCAAGCAAAAUGAAGCUAUAUGCCUUUUAGGUGCUUAAAAAUGAGAAACAAACCAGUGUUCAACUGUUUGUUAAUGGUAGCCCAAUUGAAUGUUUUGCGUGCAAGUUUAACUUAAAAUUCAUCCUACUGAAUUGAGCUCACCGAUAGAACAGCCCUGUUCUUAGGGCUGUUGGGUGAACACUUAUUUGUAGAGAUGGUUUCAUCUACGUGAACUGAACUCCAAAAGUAGUCUAAUCUGAUAGGGAACAUCUGCAUCUUGAGUAAGUGCUUAUGUAUAUAUAUAUAGAAUGGCUUUUUAUACGUGUAUAAAAAGCCAUUCAAUUUCAAGGUAAUGAAAUAGUGGCAUAACCAACUUAAAAAUAAUGGGCCAAAUUCAUGAAAGCUAGGCUAUGCAGAUAUCUGACAUCAUAGAAAACUGGUACUCCAAGAAGAGUAGUUUGUGUUCUGGCUACUGUCAGUCUGUAUUUUUUAGGGCUGAGUUAUAUUUAGACGUCAAAAAUGGAUGAUGAGUUGGUGCUGCUGUCACCAGCAUUGUCUGCUUUACAUGGGCACUAACAGGAACUAUCCUAGUAGCUCCCUUUACACCUCCGCCAACAUCUUCUCUGCAGGCAUUUGCAUCUAUUGACCUACAAGAGAGAUUAGCGUGGAGAAAAUGUUCCCUAAUACUUCUACAUCUCCAAGAAAUACUCUUUCUUCCUUACUGUGAUAACUGACUGUCCAGAGUCCAAGGAAGUGCUUUCAGUGAUGAUUUUCCGAAGCAGAGGAGUUCAUGUUAGAUCUGUUUUUCAUGUCAGAUUGUGAGUGAAACCUGGGUGAAAAAAAGAAAGGGGAUAAUGUCUGACCAAAAAAAAAAAGAAGUGUUGUUAACUUACCUGACUCACCUUCCUCCCUGCACACAUGUAGCUGCCUUUCUGCUCUCUGAUUGAAUGGGCUGCCUGAAUUGCAAGAUGAUGUUCCGCUUGAAAGCCUUUUUCUGACCUUCUGAGAUUGCUAGAAAUACUGAUGUGUGUGACACAGUUUUGGUUAUCAAACUGUUUCCUGGCAUCCAAGACUCAGCAUGUAUGUAUUUGCACUGUGUACUGUGGGAGAGAGGGAGACACCUUCCAGAGGCCUCCUGCAUCAGAAAUGACAAGAAAAGCACUGGAAAGAGCUGUCAGCGUGCUGGUGGCUGACAGGAUGGACUGCUUUGUCUGUAACUUGUGGUCGUGGCUGGUUGGAGCUCAAAACUGCUGGUGACUGUGGUUAGUCCAGAUUCAUCUCAUCUCAUGUUAGGCUGCUGUGCUCCUUACCAUGGUGCCCAAGGCAUAACUGCAUAGUCUGAGAGAAAUAGAAAUUGUUGAGGGGAUACAGCACAUCUUCAUUCUCCCCCUGAAUUGAUGUGAGCAUCAGUUCCUCUGGAGCGAAAGUUGAGCUUUCUCUUUCAUCUGCUGUCUCUGCCAAGAGUACCUGAUGUUAUGAUGCUAGUUAAUGCUGUCUUUGAAAUACAGUUAACUGGGGAUGAAGGUAAUCCUUUGCUAGAGUUGAGAGGGAGAAGGGCUAAAAGCAAGCAAGCAGUGUCACAGCUGGUGAGCCAUCCACUGUCCCUGGCCACGGUGCUUCAUAGCAUGUUCUGCUCUUGCUUCUGAGUACAAUGGAAAGCACAGUUCUGUCUAAGUAAUGCUGGCUUCCCAGUGACACCCUCUUAAUAACCCCAAGAUUGGUGUGAGUUAGAAAGUCAGAGUUACUCUCCCUUGCUUUGAAUGAACUAAGGGAGUGCUUGUGUGGUGUGCAAAGAAGGGAAAAUGCAGAAUCUUGAAGAGACUGCCUGUUGCUUGCCCUGCAGAAUUCACUUACCUAGAACUUGCUGAGCAAAACAAAUGUCACUCUUGCUGUUUUGACAGAACAAGUGUUGCAGUCUUUCGUGUUUAGCAUGUGGAAAUUUCUGCUUUGAUUUGAAAGCAAAAGAAAGAUAUCUGGCACCUCGUGAUUAGAAUUUACUGGAUUAUCUCUAAUACACCUUAGUAAAUUAGGCCAUUUGAUUUUUCAGCUUUGUCCAAUAAUGAUUUUAAAACUUUAUUUUUUUUUUUCCCACAGCAUUAUGUGCAGUAUUGUUUCUGUCUGUAACUUUGAAGGAAACUCAUGCAGAAUCCACACAUGGCAUGAAAUGUUUUUUUCUCAUGCAUGACUUCCUGACUUUGGGCAAAAGCCUGUUUUCCUCCUGCUCACCAAGGCAGGCAAAUACACUCCCUUCUCCUUCUCAGAGCAGGAAAAGGACUUUUGAAGCCCAUGCAAAGUGAUUCACAGCGCGAUGCAGUCCCAAAGGCCAGAAAGCCCCAGCAUGCAGACAUUCUCCUCCUCCUUCUCUAUUUUCCUCUGAAAUGAGAGCACAGCAGUAACUCUGACAACUGGUCUCUGGCUGCUGAGUAAUAAGCUGUAGUUUAAGGUCAGGAGUAUUUUCCCUUUUGCACUUAAUGGAGUACUGUGUAUUCGAAUUGGAUCUCAGUGUUUGCUUUUGUAGAUACGACGGUCCCAAUUUGCAUCCUCCACCACCUCCUCCUCUCUGUAUAUUCAUAUCUCCCAAGGAGAGAAGAUAAUUGUUAAGAUUCUGUAAUGUUAAAUAUCCCUGCCCUUACCUGAAUACACACAAAUGUAGAGCGCAAUGAAAUAUAGUUGCUUUCUUUAAUUUAUUAUUUAUUGGAAGAUAAUUUUGCCUGCAUUUAGUAGUAAUGAAAACAUAGUAUUGAUGAGAGAACAGUAAAACAGUUGAGAGGUGCUCACAGUGCCUGGGAUGAUCGUAUAAAUUCCGGAUGGGAAGGGCAAGUGCAGGGCUCGGUUCCCUGCCCUGAGCAGUGCUGCAUUAUGCCUGUGUUCUCCACCAGGCUUUUGAUAUCCUAGGGCUGAGUAGAUGUGGUACGUGGCAUGACACAAACUUGUUGGGUCAAGUGACUUAAGGUUUGUGAUGUAUUAAAACUAGGUAGGAAAUGAAAGCUGUAGCAGAAGGCGAACAUUUCUAUAACUGUACGUGCUCAGUAGCUUGAAUUUGUGUAUUAUUAUCUCACUUUUGAAAAGGGAGGUUUUGAAGCACAGGCAGUUUGUAGACAAUAUUUUCGAGCUUUUGGGUUUUUUCCUUCUGCAGUGAAGAGCAUCUGCAUUUUUUUCAGUGGAUACUCAUUUAAAAAUGACUUAAUGCAGCAUUUAAAAUGUGGAAUGGUAACUGUGGAUCCCACGGCACUUUUCAUGAAUUAAGGUGGGAUUCACCUGAUUGUAUGUCGAUGUCUGCACGUGAGCAAGGCACCGCAGUAGCUGAUGGGUAUAGCUAACGAGUGCAUGUCAGCAGCUCAUCCUGACCGCCUACAAUCGAUCAGACGAGCUGCACCCUAAACUCCACUGACUGUUACAAGUGGCUGGCAGACACUGGAGCCAUCUGAAGUUAGGUGAGAUGCAGCCUCACCUUGGAGCGUGCUGGCUGGCUGGCAGCACUGGGCGUUGUGCCCCGUUAGGCUCUCCUUGUGGUUAGCCGUGGUUCUGUCCUCUGCUGCCCACCUGGUGCAUGUUGGGAGGUGUGAGGCCUUGCUUUGGUUUUGGUGGUUAUUCUAGAGCAGGCGGCACUGCAGUGGUGGAUAAAGUAACUGAUCCUUGGUUAAAGAACUGUGAUGUAAACAUGGCUUGGGGGUUUCUAAAGUUUUUGAGAACCUUACUAUAUGAACAUCGGAUUGUGCGUAUCUUAAAAUGUGGUAAGACAAGUAAGGCUUGUGUCCCCACUGAUCAAAGCAUUUCCUUAUGCUUAGUCAGUAUUAGAUAUCUAUAAUGAAACUUACUGUAAAGAAUCUGCCAGAAAGACGGAAGAUUCGAGUUGUCUUCAUUUGUGAUACAAAACAACCAACCACAAGAGCUCCACUGCGAUUCGGAAAUGUUCCCCAUGCUUCCAGUUCCAGCUUACAGAAGCAUUUCCAAUUCUGCUUAGUUGGUUAUCUGCAUGUAUGCUUACAGUUUGUACAGAAAUGCACUAAAAAUGAGUUGCCCGACCCGGGAAGGCUUUAUAUUGUAUAGAAAAUGUGGCACUAGGUACUGCUCUUCAUGUGCACAGGAGAGUUAACAGGUGUCGAUCUCGUUUACAGAAAUGAUGGAGCUUUGCAAUUUUCUAUAAUACAUUGCAAUAUGUUUAAAUGUCCUGUUUGACAUGUGAAUUGAAAUUAAGUUAAUGCAUCGUUAUGUAUUUGAAUAUGAGGAAGACGAUUCACUAACGACCAGCAAGGUUUUUAGAAGGUGUCCAGUAUGUAGCAGUCUGUGUGAUCUGUCUGGUGUAUGUGAUGUUGUUAAAGGAAGCAACACUACUAGUAUCGUUUAGAAUUAAGAGUUUCUUACGAGUGAUGCAAUAGCUUACAGUGUCUUUCCUUUGUAGCUGCCCAAUGUGGUGAAGGGGAAGCAAUUGUUGAAAAAGUUCAAGAUAACUGGUUAACUGUGAAUGGGCCUAAUCUUUCGUGAAACCAAGAAAAUAUUUGGACACACACAGGACUUGAAUACUCAAAAGGAUUGGAACUUAGUGUUGUGCCAAAGUUAAACUACUGCAGUUGGCAGAAGUUCUGCACUGUAAAUAGAAGACUGAUUAAAAGACAGCUUGUAAAAAAGAAAAAAAGAUCAAAUUUUAAUACACUACGUUUUUAUUCUGAUACAUGACGGAAACAUUCUGUUUUAGACCUUUUUUGAAGAGGCUUCAGUGACCACUAGAUUUUGUCCUCUUAUAUUUUGUUUGGCCUAAUACUAUAUGUUCUAGUAAGAUGGGCUUUACUGCCUGUGUUCUUUGAUACGUGAUUAAGCUUAUAGCUUUGAGUGACCAAACAUUUUACAGAGUAAAAGUUCUUAGAAACACUAUAACGUAACUGAUAUUUCUGUGUCUUAUUUAUCAGGCUCUGCACAAACUUGGGAAGUUGUGCUGGACUUGUACAACUUACAUGUGGGAACGCAGCACACUGCUUGGUAUUACAAAGCUAAGCCUUUGAGGCAGUACGGAUCUUGUCUUUGGAUUUAUUUUUGUUAUUUUUUGAGGCAAUGAGAUGAACGGAUGCUGCUGUAAAAUAUUUGUAAUAUUGCCAUUAUUGCUUUCUGUAGCAACUACUGCUUUUGUUUCAACAGAUAAAGAAAAUAAAUCAGAGAUAGAAAAAUCCCAAAAGAAGCCGGUAGAAGAAAGGAUCACGUGGGAACUUCUGAAAAUAAACUUUGUACCAAAAAAUUUGAAAACAGAAGUAAUGGAAUAAAGGUCUCCUUACUGAC
This is an RNA transcript of Lagopus muta (rock ptarmigan), 11752 nucleotides long. It is a transcript of the gene named zinc fingers and homeoboxes 1, with no coding region annotated. NCBI's taxonomy places the organism in Eukaryota, Metazoa, Chordata, Aves, Galliformes, Phasianidae. The record is from RefSeq and is a predicted model, not a curated record. The transcript has 4 exons.